This 465-nucleotide ribosomal RNA is filed under the name uncultured bacterium. Its description in RNAcentral is "partial 16S ribosomal RNA". It matches the Rfam family "Bacterial small subunit ribosomal RNA", at positions 338 to 795 of the family's 1533-position model. The record is from RNAcentral.
CCUACGUGAGGCAGCAGUAGGGAAUUUUCGUCAAUGGGCGCAAGCCUGAACGAGCAAUGCCGCGUGAACGAGGAAGGUCUUCGGAUCGUAAAGUUCUGUUGAAGGGGAAAAAGAGCGGAGAGAGGAAAUGAACUCCGAUUGAUAUUACCCUUCGAGGAAGUCACGGCUAAUUACGGGCCAGCAGCCGCGGUAAUACGUAGGUGGCGAUCGUUAUCCGGAAUGAUUGGGCGGAAAGGGUGCGUAGGCGGCCUGCUAAGUCUGGAGGGAAAGGUACCGGCUCAACCGGUACAGGCUCUGGAAACUGGCGGGCUAGAGAGCAGGAGAGGGCGGUGGAACUCCAUGUGUAGCGGUAAAAUGCGUAGAUAUAUGGAAGAACACCAGUGGCGAAGGCGGCCGCCUGGCCUGUUGACUGACGCUGAGGCACGAAAGCGUGGGGAGCAAAUAGGAUUAGAUACCCUUGUAGUC